UGGGGAAUAUUGCACAAUGGAGGGAACUCUGAUGCAGCAACGCCGCGUGCGGGAUGACGGCCUUCGGGUUGUAAACCGCUUUCAGCCAUGACGAAGCUUUUGUGACGGUAGUGGUAGAAGAAGCACCGGCUAACUACGUGCCAGCAGCCGCGGUGAUACGUAGGGUGCGAGCGUUGUCCGGAAUUAUUGGGCGUAAAGAGCUUGUAGGCGGAAAUGCAAGUCAGGUGUAAAAGGCAGUAGCUUAACUACUGUAAGCAUUUGAAACUGCAUAUCUUGAGAAGAGUAGAGGUAAGUGGAAUUUUUAGUGUAGCGGUGAAAUGCGUAGAUAUUAAAAAGAAUACCGGUGGCGAAGGCGACUUACUGGGCUCAUUCUGACGCUGAGGAACGAAAGCGUGGGUAGCAAACAGG
This 408-nucleotide ribosomal RNA is filed under the name Fusobacteriota bacterium. RNAcentral describes it as "Fusobacteria bacterium partial 16S ribosomal RNA". It matches the Rfam family "Bacterial small subunit ribosomal RNA", at positions 355 to 776 of the family's 1533-position model. The record is from RNAcentral. Lineage: Bacteria; Fusobacteriati; Fusobacteriota.